Molecule: unclassified non-coding RNA, 259 nt
Filed under: uncultured fungus
Lineage: Eukaryota; Fungi
Description: partial contains small subunit ribosomal RNA, internal transcribed spacer 1, and 5.8S ribosomal RNA
Rfam family: Eukaryotic small subunit ribosomal RNA (bases 1-73)
Source: RNAcentral
ACAAACUUGGUCAUUUAGAGGAAGUAAAAGUCGUAACAAGGUUUCCGUAGGUGAACCUGCGGAAGGAUCAUUACCAAGUUUUUUGGUUAUUAUUUUUUUUAACCAUCAAACACCGAUCCCACCAGUGUGCACUCAUUGGAGCCAAUGAAUGGCUCCCAACCUCUUUUCCUUUUAAUCAUUUGUCUGAUUUUUGAAUCAAAUAAUUUAUACAACUUUCAACAACGGAUCUCUUGGCUCUCGCAUCGAUGAAGAACGCAGC